RNAcentral lists this ribosomal RNA (604 nucleotides) under Fusarium sp. E4. RNAcentral's name for it is "eukaryotic LSU rRNA". The stretch from base 173 to 326 matches the Rfam family "5.8S ribosomal RNA". The record is from RNAcentral. Lineage: Eukaryota; Fungi; Ascomycota; Sordariomycetes; Hypocreales; Nectriaceae.
GUGAACCAGCGGAGGGAUCAUUACCGAGUUUACAACUCCCAAACCCCUGUGAACAUACCACUUGUUGCCUCGGCGGAUCAGCCCGCUCCCGGUAAAACGGGACGGCCCGCCAGAGGACCCCUAAACUCUGUUUCUAUAUGUAACUUCUGAGUAAAACAAAUAAAUAAAUCAAAACUUUCAACAACGGAUCUCUUGGUUCUGGCAUCGAUGAAGAACGCAGCAAAAUGCGAUAAGUAAUGUGAAUUGCAGAAUUCAGUGAAUCAUCGAAUCUUUGAACGCACAUUGCGCCCGCCAGUAUUCUGGCGGGCAUGCCUGUUCGAGCGUCAUUUCAACCCUCAAGCACAGCUUGGUGUUGGGACUCGCGUUAAUUCGCGUUCCCCAAAUUGAUUGGCGGUCACGUCGAGCUUCCAUAGCGUAGUAGUAAAACCCUCGUUACUGGUAAUCGUCGCGGCCACGCCGUUAAACCCCAACUUCUGAAUGUUGACCUCGGAUCAGGUAGGAAUACCCGCUGAACUUAAGCAUAUCAAUAAGCGGAGGAAAAGAAAACAACAGGGAUUGCCCUAGUAACGGCGAGUGAAGCGGCAACAGCUCAAAUUUGAAAUCU